UGUGGGAGCGGGCUUGCUCGCGAAAGCGGUAGUUCGGACACAUUGUCAUUGAAUGUGCCGCCGUCUUCGCGAGCAAGCCCGCUCCCACA
RNAcentral lists this unclassified non-coding RNA (89 nucleotides) under Pseudomonas corrugata. The record is from RNAcentral. Lineage: Bacteria; Pseudomonadati; Pseudomonadota; Gammaproteobacteria; Pseudomonadales; Pseudomonadaceae.